This is a long non-coding RNA of Zonotrichia leucophrys gambelii, 748 nucleotides long. RefSeq lists it as uncharacterized. The record is from RefSeq and is a predicted model, not a curated record. The transcript is spliced from 8 exons. Lineage: Eukaryota; Metazoa; Chordata; Aves; Passeriformes; Passerellidae.
GUUUCUCCAUGAUGUGCUUGCUAAAAGAAGUGAGAUAUCUGGAAAAAAAUUAGACUUGUUUGUGAAAAAAAACCAAAAAACUGACCAAUAGGCUACCUAGAAAGCAUCCAGCUUGGAUCUCAGCUGCAAAGGAGAAAAUUUCUUGUGUUGAUCUUGCCCAGAGUGCUGGCCCUGCUGGACUCAACCCUCUUGCCAUCCAGUGGAUUAAAGCUGAGACCCAAGCCACCAGCAAGAUGCCAGAGCUGGAUGCAGAACUCCAGGUGGCGUCUCGUGAAGGCAGAGUAGAGGAGCAGGACCACCUCUCUUGACCUGCUGGCCACACUGCUUUGGGUGCAGCUGAAGAUGCAGUUGGCCUUCUGGAGUGUGGGCAUACCCAGGAGAGACUCCUGUUAGAAAAGCUUUGCCUGGAACAGCACAUAAUCUCUUGGCAUUUUGGAUCUGCAGGAGAAAACCAGAAUGUUUCCACCAUCAAAGGUCUCUUGGAGUUGUUGAAAGAAGGCUGGAACAGUCCUGGUUUUUGGACUUUCUUUUCUUAAGGUCUCCAUUUAGUUGAUUUUGGAAAGCAUGAAGUGUUUGAGAGGAUUAGAGACAGCAGAAGAAGAGGAAUUCAGAGUGGAGCCCUGAUUCCUGAGCUCAGUGUCCAUUGAUGCCUAAAAGUUUGCUGACUGGCUCCCAGCUCCAGGUCACUCCAGACUCCUGAGAUGAUGUCUUGAAGCUUUCUCCUCCACUGUGUCCUGGAUGCUCAUCU